Molecule: ribosomal RNA, 471 nt
Filed under: uncultured bacterium
Lineage: Bacteria
Description: bacterial SSU rRNA
Rfam family: Bacterial small subunit ribosomal RNA
Source: RNAcentral
GAUGAACGCUGGCGGCGUGCUUAACACAUGCAAGUCGAACGGACUUUUAUUGAAACCUAGUGAUAUAAAAGUUAGUGGCGGACGGGUGAGUAACGCGUGGGUAACCUGCCAUAUACAGGGGGAUAACACUUAGAAAUAGGUGCUAAUACCGCAUAAGCGCACGGUGCUGCAUGGCACAGUGUGAAAAACUCCGGUGGUAUAUGAUGGACCCGCGUCUGAUUAGCUAGUUGGUGGGGUAACGGCCUACCAAGGCGACGAUCAGUAGCCGACCUGAGAGGGGUGACCGGCCACAUUGGGACUGAGACACGGGCCCAAACUCCUACGGGAGGCAGCAUGGGGAAUAUUGCACAAUGGGCGAAAGCCUGAUGCAGCGACGCCGCGUGAGCGAAGAAGUAUUCGGUAUGUAAAGCUCUAUCAGCAGGAGAAAAAAUGACGGUACCUGACUAAGAAGCACCGGCUAAACUACCGUAG